AUAAAAAACCAAUGCCCUCUGGGCUCCUUGGUGAUUCAUAAUAACUUAACGAAUCGCAUGGCCUUGCGCCGGCGAUGGUUCAUUCAAAUUUCUGCCCUAUCAAUUUUCGAUGGUAGAGUAGUGGUCUACCAUGAUCUUAACGGGUAACGGGGAAUUAGGGUUCUAUUCCGGAGAAGGAGCCUGAGAAACGGCUACUACAUCCAAGGAAGGCAGCAGGCGCGCAAAUUACCCAAUGCUAAUUCAGCGAGGUAGUGACAAUAAAUACUGAUACGGGGCUCUUUCGGGUCUCGUAAUUGGAAUGAGUACAAUCUAAAUCCCUUAACGAGGAACAAUUGGAGGGCAAGUCUGGUGCCAGCAGCCGCGGUAAUUCCAGCUCCAAUAGCGUAUAUUAAAGUUGUUGCCGUUAAAAAGCUCGUAGUUGAACCUUGGACCUGGCUGAUCUGUCCUCCUAAUCGAGCGCACGGAUUCGGCCGGGUCUUUCCUUUUGGGGAGCCCUAUGCCCUUCACUGGGUGUAG
This 516-nucleotide ribosomal RNA is filed under the name uncultured fungus. RNAcentral describes it as "SSU rRNA". It matches the Rfam family "Eukaryotic small subunit ribosomal RNA", at positions 214 to 731 of the family's 1831-position model. The record is from RNAcentral. Lineage: Eukaryota; Fungi.